GUUGACCUCGGAUCAGGUAGGAAUACGCGCUGAACUUAAGCAUAUCAAUAAGCGCAGGAAAAGAAACCAACAGGGAUUGCCUCAGUAACGGCGAGUGAAGCGGCAACAGCUCAAAUUUGAAAUCUGGCCUCUUGGGGCCCGAGUUGUAAUUUGUAGAGGAUGUUUUGGGUACCGCCCCGGUUUAAAUUUCUUGGAACAGAAUGUCAGAGAGGGUGAGAAUCCCGUCUUGGACCGGCGGUAGGGCCUGUGUAAAACUCCUUCGACGAGUCGAGUUGUUUGGGAAUGCAGCUCAAAAUGGGUGGUAAAUUUCAUCUAAAGCUAAAUAUUGGCCAGAGACCGAUAGCGCACAAGUAGAGUGAUCGAAAGAUGAAAAGCACUUUGAAAAGAGAGUUAAACAGUAUGUGAAAUUGUUGAAAGGGAAGCGCUUGCAACCAGACUUGCGCGCGGCGGUUCCCCUUGCCUUUUGGCUUGGGUACUCCGUCGCGUCCAGGCCAACAUCGGUUUCGGGGGCCAGUUAAAGGCCCUGGGAAUGUACCUACCCCCGGGUAGACUUAUAGACCAGGGUGCCAUGUGGCCUCCCGGGACCGAGGAACGCGCUUCGGCUCGGAUGUUGGCGUAAUGGUUGUCAGCGACCCGUCUUGAAACACGGACCAAGGAGUCUAACAUCUAUGCGAGUGUUUGGGUGUCAAACCCGGAACGCGGAAUGAAAGUGAACGGAGGUAGGAAGCUUCGGCUGCACUAUCGACCGAUCCUGAAGUUUACGGAUGGAUUUGAGUAAGAGCAUAGCUGUUGGGACCCGAAAGAUGGUGAACUAUGCCUGAAUAGGGUGAAGCCAGAGGAAACUCUGGUGGAGGCUCGCAGCGGUUCUGACGUGCAAAUCGAUCGUCAAAUUUGGGUAUAGGGGCGAAAGACUAAUCGAACCAUCUGGUAGCUGGUUCCUGCCGAAGUUUCCCUCAGGAUAGCAGUAACGUUUUCAGUUUUAUGAGGUAAAGCGAAUGAUUAGAGGCCUUGGGGUUGAAACAACCUUAACCUAUUCUCAAACUUUAAAUAUGUAAGAAGUCCUUGUUACUUAAUUGAACGUGGACAUUUGAAUGUACCGUUACUAGUGGGCCAUUUUUGGUAAGCAGAACUGGCGAUGCGGGAUGAACCGAACGUGAGGUUAAGGUGCCGGAAUGUACGCUCAUCAGACACCACAAAAGGUGUCAAUGCAUCUAGACAGCCGGACGGUGGCCAUGGAAGUCGGAAUCCGCUUAGGAGUGUGUAACAACUCACCGGCCGAAUGCAUUGGCCCUGAAAAUGGAUGGCGCUUAAGCGUGCUACCUAUACCUCGCCGUUAGGGUUGACAUGAUGCCCUAACGAGUAGGCAGGCGUGGAGGUCCGUGACGAAGCCUUGGGGGUGACCCCGGGUCGAACGACCUCUAGUGCAGAUC
RNAcentral lists this ribosomal RNA (1430 nucleotides) under Chaetothyriales sp. CR0722. RNAcentral describes it as "eukaryotic LSU rRNA". It matches the Rfam family "Eukaryotic large subunit ribosomal RNA", at positions 1 to 1450 of the family's 3401-position model. The record is from RNAcentral. Lineage: Eukaryota; Fungi; Ascomycota; Eurotiomycetes; Chaetothyriales.